Molecule: ribosomal RNA, 447 nt
Filed under: uncultured bacterium
Lineage: Bacteria
Description: bacterial SSU rRNA
Rfam family: Bacterial small subunit ribosomal RNA
Source: RNAcentral
CCAGACUCCUACGGGAGGCAGCAGUGGGGAAUAUUGGGCAAUGGGCGCAAGCCUGACCCAGCAACGCCGCGUGAAGGAAGAAGGCUUUCGGGUUGUAAACUUCUUUUGUCAGGGACGAAGCAAGUGACGGUACCUGACGAAUAAGCCACGGCUAACUACGUGCCAGCAGCCGCGGUAAUACGUAGGUGGCAAGCGUUAUCCGGAUUUAUUGGGUGUAAAGGGCGUGUAGGCGGGAAUGCAAGUCAGAUGUGAAAACUAUGGGCUCAACCCAUAGCCUGCAUUUGAAACUGUAUUUCUUGAGUGCUGGAGAGGCAAUCGGAAUUCCGUGUGUAGCGGUGAAAUGCGUAGAUAUACAGAGGAACACCAGUGGCGAAGGCGAUUAACUGGACCGUAACUGACGCUGAGGCACGAAAGUGUGGGUAGCAAACAGGAUUAGAUACCCGAGUA